RNAcentral lists this long non-coding RNA (1021 nucleotides) under Ananas comosus (pineapple). RNAcentral's name for it is "long non-coding RNA (ACOM_LNC028772)". Lineage: Eukaryota; Viridiplantae; Streptophyta; Magnoliopsida; Poales; Bromeliaceae. The record is from RNAcentral.
ACGGCACCUUAACCGUUAAAUAUGUACAUAAACUUUCCCAAAUUUUUUUCAUCUAAGCUUUCGAUCACUAUUAUUACUAAUAUUAUCUUUCCCUAGCUAUUCUCUCUAAACAAUGGAGCUAUUUAAUUCCCCUGUAAUUCUAUUACUGCUGAUCAUCAUCUCCUCCCAUCUUAUUCUGCUUCAACACAGUACUGUCACAGCUCUUGAUCAUUCCUUGCAACCCAAAGAGGAGCACAAACAACUCAAAGGUUUUUAGAUCAAUUAAUAUCUCUCUCUCUCUCUCUCUCUCUCUCUCUCUCUCUCUCUCUCUCUCUAUUUUAUCUUGGUUUUUUGUUUUCUUAUCUCUCUCUAUAUUUCUUGUUGUUAAUUUGCUAUGUUAUUAGUAUUGAGUUACUGAUUAAUUUGUUGCGCUUUCUUAGCUAAGUUUUCUUCUUUUUAAAAGCAGAAUUAGAAGCUCUAAUUUAAAAUUUUUGUUUCUUAUCAUUACAGAAGCACCAAACUGUUUGACAAAAGUUCUGCAACAAGAGAAUUUCAAACUAAAACUUUUGUAUUUGAAUAGCAGUGAGAAUUUUAGGCACAAACUUGAUAAGAUUAUCAAAGGGUGAAAUCGAUACAACAUAAAUUUGUUUAACUAGAAAAUCACAAAACUUGACACGACACGACACGACAAAAAAAUAAGUCAAAUCGGCACAAGUAACACGAUUAUCAAACACGAGUACGAUUUGCGACUCUGAAUUGAUUUUUUCGAAUAUUCAUAAACUUAUUUUAGCUUUCUGUCACAAUAGAAAGUUUGGAUUUUUUUUUUUUUUUUUGGUUAAAAUCCUCUAGUAAUGAUUGUUGCAGCUUUCUGUUGCAGUAGAAACUCUGUACUUUUCUGCGCGUCAAAUGCUUUACUAAAAACUGAGGUAGUGAGAUUUGGUUGUGCAGGUGAAGAUUUCAGUCCUUACCCUUUUCACCGCCGUCGCCGCCCCCGACCGCGGGGCGAGAUAUUCCACCCGCCGACCGGCCAGUGCGUGCUCCG